GACAGAGGGUGCAAACGUUGUUCGGAAUUACUGGGCGUAAAGCGAGUGUAGGCGGUCUCAUAAGUCGGAUGUGAAAGCCCUGGGCUCAACCCAGGAAGUGCACUCGAUACUGCGAGGCUAGAGUAUCGGAGAGGUUGGUGGAAUUCUCGGUGUAGAGGUGAAAUUCGUAGAUAUUAGGAAGAACACCAGUGGCGAAGGCGGCUCACUGGUCCGGUACUGACGCUGAGGUGCGAAAGCGUGGGGAGCAAACAGG
RNAcentral lists this ribosomal RNA (253 nucleotides) under uncultured bacterium. Its description in RNAcentral is "partial 16S ribosomal RNA". It matches the Rfam family "Bacterial small subunit ribosomal RNA", at positions 524 to 776 of the family's 1533-position model. The record is from RNAcentral.